AAUAUUACAUUAAACAUCUAUCAUAAUUUAUAAUCUGAUAUAAAAGCAAGAAAAUUAGAAAACGUAAAUAUAUAAUUAAAAAAUGAAAAAACUAAAUUAAACAUAUAUCUGAAAAAUGUAUCUAUACUAAUAAAAUGGAGCUCAAUACUAAUAAAAUAGAGCUUUUGAGGCUCCAUAGGGCGUCCACAUCAACGGAAAAAAAUUUCUUAUAAAAGAUGACACAUGGC
RNAcentral lists this long non-coding RNA (227 nucleotides) under Brassica napus (rape). Its description in RNAcentral is "long non-coding RNA (BNAP_LNC005303)". Lineage: Eukaryota; Viridiplantae; Streptophyta; Magnoliopsida; Brassicales; Brassicaceae. The record is from RNAcentral.